AUACGUAGGGGGCGAGCGUUGUCCGGAAUGAUUGGGCGUAAAGGGCGCGUAGGCGGCCCGGUAAGUCUGGAGUGAAAGUCCUGUUUUUAAGAUGGGAAUUGCUUUGGAUACUGUCGGGCUUGAGUGCAUGAGAGGUAAGUGGAAUUCCCAGUGUAGCGGUGAAAUGCGUAGAGAUUGGGAGGAACACCAGUGGCGAAGGCGACUUACUGGACUGUAACUGACGCUGAGGCGCGAAAGUGUGGGGAGCAAACAGGAUUAGAUACCCUGGUAGUCCACACUGUAAACGAUGAAUGCUAGGUGUAAGAGGUAUCGACCCCUUUUGUGCCGGAGUCAACACAAUAAGCAUUCCGCCUGGGGAGUACGGCCGCAAGGUUGAAACUUAAAGGAAUUGACGGGG
This 397-nucleotide ribosomal RNA is filed under the name uncultured bacterium. RNAcentral describes it as "partial 16S ribosomal RNA". It matches the Rfam family "Bacterial small subunit ribosomal RNA", at positions 523 to 918 of the family's 1533-position model. The record is from RNAcentral.